UCUAGUGUUCUCUUCCCUUCAAUCAGACUCAAGUGGAGAAGUCUUGGUGUGUGAGCAUGUUAUUUCUUCGCUGUGCAGUGAAUCUUCACUUCAGGUUCACUGGAGUACCUCCAUGCUGUUUGCAGGAGUUGUGUGCAGUUUCAGAGGCAUGAGGAUAUUUUAGAGGGAUCAACUGGCACUGAUUUUGUGUAUCUAAGAGAUUACAGAUUAGCCCAGUGUUCUUUGGGGAUGCUUCAUGUCACUUCAACAAACUCAGAACAUGUUCCAGUACAAAAUCAUGAAAGAGAAGGAGAACACAGGUUUGGAUCAAACCCUCUGUGCCAUGAGAUCAUGUCCCUCCCAGUGGAAGCCGUAACACUUCUAAGCCGUAACACGGUGUAGAAACCAUACACCUUGACCGUAUUCUUCAGCAGGGACACCACUGUAGUGGUAAAGACAGCCCUGAAUAAGCUCAGUUCUUCAUUGACUUGAAUCUUGGCCAAGUAUCAAAGGAGUCUCCUAUCAGCUUCUUCAUAUGUAUAGCCUUCUCAUCCUCAGUCUAACCUCAGGCUCAGCCCCUCAGCUGACAACAUGUGAAGCAUGUAAGAGGAAACUCUCUCUUCUGAGCCAGCCUAAAGAGCUCUUCUACCUGUUUAUUAAAUAAAGUUCCACCAAAUGCAACCAUAUGAAAAUUUUUAUAAAGACAUGGCAAGUUAAUACCACAUAAGAAUUUCCUCACAGGAAUUUACUCUUCCAUCACUUUCAGAACUGUUCUCUUUCCUUACCUAUAUUUAAAAAUGUGUCAUUUUAAGAGGGUUAUGUUGAGUAUUUUUGCAUAGAAAUAGAGCUUUUUCCAUCAUUUGUGCAGAUUAAAGUGUAUUUACAGUGUGCUAAUAAAACAGAAUCUAUCUUUGCAAAUCAUUACACACAGAAGGAGUAACUUUCAAAGUUUAUGGCUAUUGGCAGUGUAGAUGUGCUUGCAGCUAUUCCCUCCCUCUGUUUUGAAAUCCCUUUUGUUAGGUAAAACACAGAUUUAGUGUUCUGAGCACACUUAACAGUUUACUCUCCCAUCUGCAGUUAUGUUUAUCUUCUUAAUCCUAGUAGGAGCUGCUGAAUUCAGGUAGUGAGAAGAUGUUGACUGCCUUGAGAGUAAUUUUUGUCAAAAAUGUGUCUUUUCCUAGAAGUUAAACUACAGUAUUUAAAUUGUUUUAAAGACACUGUUUUCAGAUAGAGGUGGUUAUAUUGGACAAGACCAUGACUUGUUUUACAGAGGAGUUGCAAAGAGGUCUCUAUAACUGGUAUGAGAGCAAGAAGGUGAACAUCAGCUGCAUGCUCAGAAAAAUUGUCAUUGCAUGAAGAAAUCCACCUGGAGUAAAGGGUUUCUGCAGUUUGGUUCUUGUCCUGGUUAAGAGCUCAGUCCUGAAGACUGAAACAUGUUUGAGCUGUAGACACCUGGAAAUACCCACAGCAGUAUGAAUGACAAUGAAUGACGGUGCUGAAUUAGAACUUCUCUUGACACCCAGGAUUCCUGGAAACCUUCACCCACGGGAGUCACAAAGCAGAAGAACCUAAAAUGAGAAUUUCUUUAUUAAAGUUCAGCAGCUGUGAUGUGUAUAAGGUCACACAGGAGAAAAACAAGUGGGGAGACCAAAUAAUUCUUCUGCAUUAGGAUUGUGGACUCCUUGAAAUUACUGGUCCUAGUCAACAGAUUGCAGUUCAGAUAUUGUUAUAUAUCCUGAAAACAGAUUUUAUGAUACAUGCACCUGAUUAUUUUUUCAGCCUAAUCCCAGUUACUUUUUUUUUUUGCUAUUUAUCAUUAUUUCCUUUCAGGCUAUCACUGGUGGCAUCAUCUUUUCAUGACGCUAUCAUAGCUGUAUAAUUUUUAAACGUUAAAACAUGAAAAAAAAAAAAAGAACAGUAUGAAGCUCUGUAGCAAUCUGUUCAGGGAAGAACUGUAAAAGGCCGCCCACAAAAAAUAUGCUAAUGUAAUUAAGUUUUAUGAACACAGUAUGUAAAUUUAAAUAGUGUCAUGGAAAAAGCAGUACUUUGAUCAGAGAUACUACGGAUUAAUCCCUAAAAGUUUUUAAGGGAAAUGAAAACUAUUACAAAAGUUUACUGUUUACAUAAGCAUUAAUAUAUUCAAUAAUAUUGAAUGCAGUGAUGCAAAUAAAUUAUUAAAGAUGCAGUCACUGAUAUUGGUGAGGGAAUUGGAAGUAUGCCAUUUUGUUAGUAGUUUUUCUAAGGUAAAUUUUGCCAUUAAAAGACAAAUUAUUAUGAAUUUGCGUACUGUGCCAAAUACAAAAACACUUAAUUAUCAAACUCUUUCCUGAACUAGAGUUAAAUUUUGAGUCUAAGUAACAAAGCCAGAGAAUGACAGAAGGAGCAAUAAAUGGGCUGUGUGGAAAAUAUCUGGCGUCACCUCUCUCCCUAGAAAAACUGCUUGGUACCCCGAGUUACACCCAUGGAAGUGCCAGCCUGAUUGCAAUUGGUUGCCUGGUUGAGUGACACUCAGUGGAGAUGUAAUGAAGUCUCCUUAGAGAAAACUAGUUAGGAUCCUUCUACAAGUGGAACUGUUGGAAGGGCUUGAAGACAGUAAUGUUCAAUUAAGACAGUGUCUAUUAAGGAUAUUACUGCUUUAUGGAGGAGGGUAUCAGGGGAUUAGGACUGGCCUAUAUGUACCAGAUUAACCUUGUGUGAACAACUGAGUUUUGAAAGCAUGCUAUUUUCAAAAGUUUUUCUGUUUUUGUUUUGCUAUGAUUAUUUAUUAUGUGUUUUAUAUACCAUUUCUUACCUAGAACAUAGCUCACUGCAUCUGAACUGGGGCCUUAAAGUCUUCACUCAUCUGUAUCUCAGAUUGUGUUCUUAAAUGUCUUUCCCUAUUCCUUGCUUAUACACAGGAUGAAUUUGCAGAUAGCUGAUCUGCUAUUGAUCCUGCUUGAAAAUUAAAUUAUAUUUUCAAUUGUUGGCACACAUAAUAAUUUAUUUGCCCAGAAACUUGACAUGGAAUGACUUGAUAAAUACUCUUCAGUCUGAUAUUUCUUCUGCAUUUUUUCUGGUAGUCUCUGGGAGGUGAUAACAUGAAGAGUACACAGCCUCUAUCAAAUAUCUCCAAAUGUAGAAACCAAUACUCACUUACAUGUUGGUGUUCUGGACUAACAGUGGUGCUUCACACUAGUACCAUACUAGGAAAAGUGCAAAUGUAGUAUCAGAGAAGUUGCCAUAGGAGCAGUAGCUGGAUGAAAGCCUUUAGUCACUACUUGUAAAAGUAGCUUGACAGAAAUUUUAAGAUGUAGAAGGUAGCAUCAAAGUCAAGGUAUUUUGGUUGGAGUCCAUCCUCCAACAAACCCACUGUAAAUCUGCACUGUAUCUAUUCUGAGUCCUGCACAUAAUGAAAGAAAUAUGGAAGUUAAAGAUACUAAGAAAGAAAGGAGAUGAGAGUGCAAUGGCAUUUUUUUAACCUGAAUUGUGGAUUCUGAGGACUUUUUGUAUCCAAAACUCUCUUACAAUUAGGUACAUGUGAAAGUAACUGAAAUCAAUACAAUAUCCUGAGACCCAUGGGAUAGUUUCUGUGGGGAGAUGGGCAGAUGUCAUUUCAUUCUGAUAUUUUAAGUCUAGAGAGCAAGACUUUUAAUGAGCAGGAUAAAAAGUGGAAAACCAGGCAACAAGCAGCCCUUCCCAGGAAAACAAAAACCCACCACAAAACCCCCAAGAAAAUUACAAAGAAGGAAAACACCCAGUAUUUCAUAGGAUUGAAACUCAGACUUCAGCCUGUAUUUAGUGAGGGCUAGAAUGUCAUAUUCUCCAAGAAAAGUUUACAGACCCCCCUAAACAGUCUUCUCUGCAGUGACUUCUGCUGGCCUGUGCUGGAGACAAGAAUUCACUCCUGGUUCAGUAUGGUAACUUACCAGACAGUUACAGAAAACUUGUCACACAUCACAUUUCUGUUCCCAUUCUUCUUAGAUAAAUGCAAUAAAAAUAGAGUUCAUGUUUUGAUCCUCCUUUCUCCAUUGUUAGCUUGAUGAAAUAUUGUCACCAAUGAAAAUGUUUCUAAAUUCUCAUUGGUAAAACUGAAUAUAACAAACUUUGGCAGUGAGAUAAAAAAAAAAAAAGUAGGAUAGAAUGAGGCAUCUUGCUUACAAAGCAGUAUGUUUUUAUAAAUUAAGCUUGUUUCCAGAGGUAAUAUACUGUUGCAGUAGAUUUCUAUGUACAUGUUUCUUUCCUUUUUUGUAAAUAAAAGGUGAUUGUUAAGAAGUCAGACAACAACAACAAAAAAUCUUUAUUUUUCUGCUAAGCAUGUGGUAUAUGGUGUAUAUAAUACAUAGUAUACAGUACACACUUUGGGAUUUUUUUUGCUCAUAGCUGCAGGUGUACAUGGAAAUGAAUAUAAAAUAUUUGAAAACUCCAGUCACCAUUUCUUCCUUCCUUGCAUUUAACUUUUAUUCUUCAUAGACCUGUCUUCAUGCAAGAAAGCAGCUUUUUCUAGUUAUAUCUUGCCUUGAACUAAAAUAAAUGGAAAAUAUGUUCCUGAUAAAAAAAUUAGAAUUAAUCUGUUAUGCAGAGAACAAUAUAUGCGGCACUUUACAAAGAUGCAAGGCUUCAAUCUUUUCAGUUCAAUGUGCUACUAGGAAUCUCACCAACAUGCCUAUGGUUUUUAUUGUUUAAUUGUUUUUUGAUAAAACUUUUUAAUUACU
This is a non-coding RNA of Zonotrichia albicollis (white-throated sparrow), 4670 nucleotides long. The record is from RefSeq and is a predicted model, not a curated record. NCBI's taxonomy places the organism in Eukaryota, Metazoa, Chordata, Aves, Passeriformes, Passerellidae.